AUUAAAAUAAACUAAAAAGUAUAAAAGUUCUAAAAAAACUAAUAUAUACUGGCAGCAUUUCACCUUAUUAGAGAAAUAUGUUUUUUAAUCGAAAGCACACGCUGAUUUUUACUUAUUUUUUAAAUUUUGUAUACCGCCGUAUAGAAUUUUUUUCAAAAUUUUUUCAGAGGUAAAAUCUAAUAAAAUAGGUAAAGGUGCAAACUACAAAUAAGAUAGAAAUGUAUUACAAUAAACAUUAUUUAAAAUCCUCAUUUAAUAAAAUUACAAUGUAGGAUUUAAAAGUAAUAUAUUAAUAAAAAUUUUAUAUGAAUAAGUUAAUAAAUGUGU
RNAcentral lists this ribosomal RNA (327 nucleotides) under Gelanor sp. GH1305. RNAcentral describes it as "partial 12S ribosomal RNA". The record is from RNAcentral. Lineage: Eukaryota; Metazoa; Arthropoda; Arachnida; Araneae; Mimetidae.